This is a non-coding RNA of Osmia lignaria (orchard mason bee), 585 nucleotides long. NCBI's taxonomy places the organism in Eukaryota, Metazoa, Arthropoda, Insecta, Hymenoptera, Megachilidae. The record is from RefSeq and is a predicted model, not a curated record.
CACAGUGAAGCUCGCACAAAUUUUACCCACGCACUGCGGUUCAAUUUGAAAUUUUUUACCCACGUAAACGUGAUCUGUCCUGAACGUGACUAUUAUUAAUGGAGGUAUAAAAAAAAAAGAACAGAAAAAACCGCUAACCGAAUCGAACACGGUUGUUCCAGCAAUUUUAUCGUCCGUCAAGACGAAAUUUAUAACAGCAAUUGAGGUUAAUUUGUUUCAAGUGAUCGAAUACCCUUGCUAAUAAUGAUCAAUAGCAUUCAUUUACUAUUCAAUGAGAAGUUUGCAACGAUUUGAAUUUAUGCAUGUGAAGUAGCAGCUAACGGCUCGAAUCUGUCUACCAAUCAAAAAUUAGCAACCCGAGGAAUCUGGAUUUCUAUUGGUUAUUGAUUCUUGAUUUCUAUUGGCUGUGACGUCACCCGCGGAAAAACCGCCAAGCAUCCGGCAUUUCCAGGACGUAAUAUAUACGAAACACGGAUGGCUGUGCACGUGCACGAAUGACAUCUUGGUAUUCUUCCGAAAGAUCAAGCUGACAAUGCAGAUAAGUAUGGUCCCUGCAGUCGGUACACGUGCAACUUAUUCAACCUG